CCGGGAGAUCUUGUGAGCGCGCGUGCGUCUGAUGUUGCUAAAAACAGUAAUUUGUCACCACCUACUGGCGUAACGAAGCAGAAAGAGUCACCAGACAACCCCCCUGACAGGCUGUACGACUCUACUGUAUGAGGAAAGGGGCAGUGAAUGCAAGAUUAAUUCUUUAUGUUUCUCUCUCUCCAGUAAAUGACAAGCAUAAACCCUAACACAAGUCCUGGAGCUGCUCCUGCACGAUCCGCUGUUAUCACACAUGCACGCUGCUCAUCAGUGCUGAUCUCAGGCUGACACACGGGCUCACCGCAGGGCACCACUUCAUCAGACACACCGCGUCUGAUCCACUCCUCCACAGGGGACAAUAAAGUCACCGCAGACGCUUGGGAGCUGCUGACCACUGAGGCACAGUGAUGGGUCACUUAAUAAAGUGAAGUCUGUUGGAUGUGUAGGUGAGUGUCACAGUCCUGUAGCUCCUGGGGUUUGGCAGAGCGCACAGAUGAAAAAUGGAGCUUACAGUCUUGUCAACAGACGCUGCCCAAUUAGUGCCCUCAACACUAACCUGAUCAGUCUAGCAUCUCCAACAGCAGAUGAUUCACCAAAUGCAAUGUUUUAGAGACUGGAGAAAUGCAAGGGAACAAAGUUUGGCUGGUUAAAGGAAUAGCUAGCCCAGAAUAACAAGAAUUAUUAACCCAGAAUUAAGAUAUUUUUUAAAGAAGUUUUUAACCACAAACCAUUGCUUCUGGCCAAAAUAGUACCUAAUCCAUAAAAAUGUUUCCUCCAGUGAAAAAGUCCAUCCCCUGUUGUCCUCUCAUAAUAAAGUCUGUACUGAUGAGAGUGCUUGAUCUGGGUUUGUUUAUUACAAACACACCGCUGUUCACAAGACGUAAACUGGUGGACUUGAGUUGUGUGAAUUACUUCUGGUUUAUUGUGAUGUUUUUGUGUGUCUGUGUGCGUGUUUCCAUCUCCUCAUAUAUUUUUAGAGGACCUCCUCGAAGAAAUAUACAAAAAACAUAUGUAUGUUCCAGAUAGCCCUUUCACUGUGAUGUUAAAGCAGCUGCUGAAACAGACGAGUCAUCUGUAUAUCUCACUUGUGUUCAGUCCCAGUGCCACUAUUCAUGUUUAUUCCUCUUAAUUAGCUCCCUAUCUUUCCCUCUCACUCUCUUUCUCACUUUAUAAUAAGUGGGUCACUGGCAAGGGCUCAGAAAAGCCUGGUGCAGAUUAUUUUUAGAACUAAACAACUGUUGGCUAAGAGGCACAUUUAGUGUUACGUCUAGUCUGUGUGGUUAAUUUGCAGUGGAAUAC
Molecule: long non-coding RNA, 1296 nt
Organism: Carassius auratus (goldfish)
Lineage: Eukaryota; Metazoa; Chordata; Actinopteri; Cypriniformes; Cyprinidae
Exons: 3
Source: RefSeq, a predicted model, not a curated record